RNAcentral lists this long non-coding RNA (748 nucleotides) under Sus scrofa (pig). Its description in RNAcentral is "lncRNA (ENSSSCG00070008558.1)". Lineage: Eukaryota; Metazoa; Chordata; Mammalia; Artiodactyla; Suidae. The record is from RNAcentral.
GUGGAAGUUGGGCGCCAUGGCAGGGCCUCGUCCAUCCAGCCUGGGCCGCGCUGGCCGGAGCAGACCGCAAGCGGCCCGCUGGGAGCCCAGCCAAGAGCGGUGUUUUUCCAGGUCCGCGCAGGGCCACGGGAACCCGCGUGUUUGUUUGGUGGGAAUGGAUUCCUGGAAAACUAGACGGAAGGCUCUCCCAGCUGCUGGCUCCGCUCUGUUGAUGGAUACCAUCCAGUGUCACCACAGGGGCUUCCAGUGCCUGGAAUUUUGGUGGGAGGAGAGCAACUUCAGGAAUGAAGGAGGAGGUAACAGCAGCAGAGAUUCAGGGCAGACCUUGGGGAGACACCCAUCAAAGCAGGUGAGGAUGGGGAAAAAGGACUGAGGGUGGGCCCAUCGGUCCAUUCCAGAACUCCCACUGGAAUGUCAAACGGGCUUGAGCGGACAGCUGAGCCCUGGAGCCUGGGGACGAGAUGUUCCAUCCUCUGAGCAGACUGAGGCCGGAUGUCGGCUUGGAGCCGACGCCGCACCAGCUCCAGCUCCCUUCCUUGGCUGCAGGGUCUUCUUUGGAGUGAGGGUCGGCCCUCUCGGCGCCUCAGGGAGCGCAGGGCCCUUCGGAGGCAAGUGGUGUGGGGGCCUCUCCCAUGUGGGGGGCUCUGUUAGACCUCCUUCCUUCUUCUUCUCGUUGGCGGCGAGGCUGGAGGGUGUGCUUUUUCCAGACCCUUCUCUCUCACGAGUCUGAACAGUCAGAGGAAGCGGC